This 415-nucleotide ribosomal RNA is filed under the name uncultured bacterium. RNAcentral describes it as "bacterial SSU rRNA". It matches the Rfam family "Bacterial small subunit ribosomal RNA", at positions 359 to 775 of the family's 1533-position model. The record is from RNAcentral.
GAAUCUUGCACAAUGUACGAAAGUAUGAUGCAGCGACGCCGCGUGAAGGAUGAAGGCCCUUGGGUCGUAAACUUCUUUUAUCGGGGAAGAAUAAAUGACGGUACCCGAUGAAUAAGCCACGGCUAACUACGUGCCAGCAGCCGCGGUAAUACGUAGGUGGCAAGCGUUGUCCGGAUUUACUGGGCGUAAAGAGUAUGUAGGCGGACAUUUAAGUAGAAAGUGAAAGGCUCGAGCUUAACUCGGACACUGCUUUCUAUACUGGAUGUCUUGAGUGCCGGAGAGGAAAGCGGAACGACACGUGUAGCGGUGAAAUGCGUUGAUAUGUGUCGGAACACCAAUGGCGAAGGCAGCUUUCUGGACGGAGCCGCAAGGCUUACAACUGACGCUGAGAUACGAAAGCGUGGGUAGCGAACAG